Oncorhynchus keta (chum salmon) is the source of this 919-nucleotide long non-coding RNA. RefSeq lists it as uncharacterized. The record is from RefSeq and is a predicted model, not a curated record. The transcript is spliced from 3 exons. NCBI's taxonomy places the organism in Eukaryota, Metazoa, Chordata, Actinopteri, Salmoniformes, Salmonidae.
AUGGGUUUUUAAAAUGACACUAUGAAUGAAGUCAGAGGCAAGAAAACCUCUUAAAAAUGGCAGGUAGGAUCAAUUAAAAACAAAAACAAUGUACUUGCCACGUAACUACGUUAUACAACAAUUGAAGAGCCAUGUACGUAAAAUGAGUUGCACGUAAAUUUAACAAACAAAUAUUAGAUAAAGUCUUCUGAAGAGAUGAGCCAUUAACAGAGACUAUGAUGAGAAACUUCAGAGAUUCACCCAAAAUAUUGACUAUUAUACAGACAGGAGCAGAUUAGUGUAACUUAUUAGGUGAUUUACUACAACGUGUUUCGACCAGACAGGUAUUUCUCAGGUCAGUGUAACUUACUACAACGCGUUUCGACCAGACAGGUAUUUCUCAGGUCAGUGUAACUUACUACAACGCGUUUCGACCAGACAGGUAUUUCUCAGGUCAGUGUAACUUACUACAACGUGGUUCGACCAGACAGGUAUUUCUCAGGUCAGUGUAACUUACUACAACGCGUUUCGACCAGACAGGUAUUUCUCAGGUCAGUGUAAAUUACUACAACGCGUUUCGACCAGACAGGUAUUUCUCAGGUCAGUGUAACUUACUACAACGCGUUUCGACCAGACAGGUAUUUCUCAGGUCAGUGUAACUUACUACAACGCGUUUCGACCAGACAGGUAUUUCUCAGGUCAGUGUAACUUACUACAACGUGUUUCGACCAGACAGGUAUUUCUCAGGUCAGUGUAACUUACUACAACGCGUUUCGACCAGACAGGUAUUUCUCAGGUAGCAUUAAUAGGCCUUUUUAGUCUUCUGUCUAUAUUAAACCAUAUGACUUAGAGCACUCUAUAGCUCUAUGAACCAAACUUCUAGAACAUACCAUUCCUUGCCAAGGAGGAGGAGGCCCAAUGGUGUGGUGGAACUCUCUCA